Molecule: ribosomal RNA, 465 nt
Filed under: Vreelandella stevensii
Lineage: Bacteria; Pseudomonadati; Pseudomonadota; Gammaproteobacteria; Oceanospirillales; Halomonadaceae
Description: partial 16S ribosomal RNA
Rfam family: Bacterial small subunit ribosomal RNA
Source: RNAcentral
CCUACGGGAGGCAGCAGUGGGGAAUAUUGGACAAUGGGCGAAAGCCUGAUCCAGCCAUGCCGCGUGUGUGAAGAAGGCCUUCGGGUUGUAAAGCACUUUCAGUGGGGAAGAAAGCCUUGGGGCUAAUACCCUCGAGGAAGGACAUCACCCACAGAAGAAGCACCGGCUAACUCCGUGCCAGCAGCCGCGGUAAUACGGAGGGUGCGAGCGUUAAUCGGAAUUACUGGGCGUAAAGCGCGCGUAGGCGGUCUGAUAAGCCGGUUGUGAAAGCCCCGGGCUCAACCUGGGAACGGCAUCCGGAACUGUCAGGCUAGAGUGCAGGAGAGGAAGGUAGAAUUCCCGGUGUAGCGGUGAAAUGCGUAGAGAUCGGGAGGAACACCAGUGGCGAAGGCGGCCUUCUGGACUGACACUGACGCUGAGGUGCGAAAGCGUGGGUAGCAAACAGGAUUAGAUACCCCUGUAGUC